GCCGAGAUAGCUCAGUCGGUAGAGCAUCGGACUGAAAAUCCGAGUGUCCCUGGUUCGAAUCCUGGUCUCGGCACCA
This 76-nucleotide transfer RNA is filed under the name Desulfobacterales bacterium SG8_35. Its description in RNAcentral is "tRNA-Phe". It matches the Rfam family "tRNA". Rfam says of the family: Transfer RNA (tRNA) molecules are approximately 80 nucleotides in length. Their secondary structure includes four short double-helical elements and three loops (D, anti-codon, and T loops). RNAcentral also lists the same sequence under 7 other names. The record is from RNAcentral. Lineage: Bacteria; Pseudomonadati; Thermodesulfobacteriota; Desulfobacteria; Desulfobacterales.